UUAGUAGGGUGGGGUGUAAUAGGUAGCACGAGGAACUUUGAAUUCCUAAGUACAGGUUCAAUCCCUGUGGCCCUAG
Molecule: transfer RNA, 76 nt
Filed under: Lemmiscus curtatus (Sagebrush vole)
Lineage: Eukaryota; Metazoa; Chordata; Mammalia; Rodentia; Cricetidae
Description: tRNA-Gln
Rfam family: tRNA
About the family: Transfer RNA (tRNA) molecules are approximately 80 nucleotides in length. Their secondary structure includes four short double-helical elements and three loops (D, anti-codon, and T loops).
Source: RNAcentral